RNAcentral lists this ribosomal RNA (516 nucleotides) under uncultured bacterium. RNAcentral describes it as "bacterial SSU rRNA". It matches the Rfam family "Bacterial small subunit ribosomal RNA", at positions 371 to 880 of the family's 1533-position model. The record is from RNAcentral.
AUGGGCGCAAGCCUGAUCCAGCUAUGCCGCGUGCGGGAAGAAGGCCUUCGGGUUGUAAACCGCUUUUGUCAGGGAAGAAACGCUCUGAGUUAAUACCUCGGGGUAAUGACGGUACCUGAAGAAUAAGCACCGGCUAACUACGUGCCAGCAGCCGCGGUAAUACGUAGGGUGCAAGCGUUAAUCGGAAUUACUGGGCGUAAAGCGUGCGCAGGCGGUUAUGCAAGACAGAUGUGAAAUCCCCGGGCUCAACCUGGGAACUGCAUUUGUGACUGCAUAGCUAGAGUACGGUAGAGGGGGAUGGAAUUCCGCGUGUAGCAGUGAAAUGCGUAGAUAUGCGGAGGAACACCGAUGGCGAAGGCAAUCCCCUGGACCUGUACUGACGCUCAUGCACGAAAGCGUGGGGAGCAAACAGGAUUAGAUACCCUGGUAGUCCACGCCCUAAACGAUGUCAACUGGUUGUUGGACGGCUUGCUGUUCAGUAACGAAGCUAACGCGUGAAGUUGACCGCCUGGGGAG